GUGUAAGUAUGAAUAAAUUCAAAUUAUAAAACCUUAAAUGGAUGAUUAAAUUAGUUAUAGUUUGUUUGAUUGUAUCUACUACUCAGAUAACUUUAGUAAUUCUAGAGCUAAUACAUGCAACAAAACCCGACUUCUUGAAGGGAUGCAUUUAUUAGAUAAAAGACUGAUGCAGACUAUGCCCGUUGAUGUGAUGAUUCAUGGUAACUCAACAGACGACCAUCCUGCUAGUAACGCAUCAUUCAAAUUUCUAUCCUAUCAACUUUGGAUAGUAUAAAAAUAGCCUACCAUGGAGAAGCAGUAUGACAACGAAAAGCCAC
This 317-nucleotide non-coding RNA is filed under the name Solanum lycopersicum (tomato). RNAcentral describes it as "Eukaryotic small subunit ribosomal RNA". It matches the Rfam family "Eukaryotic small subunit ribosomal RNA", at positions 57 to 373 of the family's 1831-position model. The record is from Rfam by way of RNAcentral. Lineage: Eukaryota; Viridiplantae; Streptophyta; Magnoliopsida; Solanales; Solanaceae.